GAGAAAGAGCUCUUUAAAUCCACCUGUUAACCAGCAUAUAUUCUUGCGCCUUCGCUAUGGUAAGGUGAACUGUCUGUCAAGACUGUGUAUCCGUGAACAGUUCGGCGCUGCAUUUCCGAAGUCCAUACCUCGACAAACAGCUCACAAUCUUAAAUGGACUAUCACUGUUGGAAAGACCAUACCGGGCAAUUGUUAUGCAUGUUCUGGAUGAUCGUUCACAUGCCUUGAUUUCACUGGGACUUUGCAACACUGGUGCAGCUCGAGCAAUAACUACACACCACACUGGACUUUUUAUUCAUUCGUGACUAUGGCAAACCCAUCGCAGUGAACUGGAGCAGAGGUUUGCAACACAUUGUUGCAAAUAUUUGGAUGUAGAUUAUGCUCUCCCUCUUGCGUGCCCCGUAACUACUUACCUUCGUUCAUUCAUACAGUCCAGUUUGGCGCCGAGCACCGAGUUCUCUUCUGAAAAUAUUAAUAAUUGCAGUUUUCUCUCAAUUAUGUUCACUUUCGCUGCCUUUUGCUAUAUGCUUUCCCUUGUCCUCUGUGCUUCUCUGAUCUUCUUCGCGAUCUGGCAUAUAACAGCCUUUGAUGAGCUUCAGGCAGACUUCAAGGUGCCGAUCGAUCAGGGCAAUCCACUUCACGCGCGUGAAAGGCUUCGGAACAUUGAGAGGAUCUGCUGCCUUCUACGAAAGUUGGUGCUUCCAGAGUACUCCAUCCAUGGACUCUUCUGUAUCAUGUUCCUGUGCGCUCAGGAGUGGCUUACAGUGGGCCUAAAUAUCCCUCUGCUCUUCUACAACACAUGGAGCAGGUACUUCCACAGCCCCACUGACACUAAGGAGCUUCUCUACGAUCCAGCAUCCGUCAUGAACGGAGACACGCUGAAAUUCUGCCAAAAAGAAGCCUGGUGCAAGAUGUCCUUCUUCGUCCUCUCAUUCUUCUACUAUCUCUACUGCCAAAUAUGCUUUUUAGUGUGUGCCUUUGCUAUAGUAUAAGCUACCUAAAGCCUAUAGCAUAGCAGAGAUGUAUACUUAAACAAGCAUUUGAACUGACAUGGACUCUGCGCACUUGGAUGGCGCCAGGAACAUGCCUUUGGCAUCUAUUGGGACUCACCCCCUCUUUAAGGAGUGAUGUAUGAUCUACUCCUUGGUGACCUCAUAACAGAGUUGUCAGCCUCGAAGAAGUCCUCCAAUCAUAAGACACUGUUUUCAAAAGCGCUAAACUAAGUUUGGAUGAAACAAGAGUACCAAUUCAAUUUAUAUUUGUCAGCUGGAGAAACUCUGCAGUGUCUGGACUGAACAGACUUAACCCUAACUUCCAAGAAUACAAGAACCCUGUGUUGUUUACAAUUCGGACUCAAUUUCCUAGAUGUCUCACGGACCGGUGUGACGCGGUUUCACAAGCUCACAGUAAAGUUUGCACUGAUUGUCUCAGGCAUAGUACAGAACAUCAUUUACCACUUUGAGGCACGAAACCUGCCAAACUUUACUCUCACUAAAUGUAGCUCAAAAUUCAUGUUGGGUUUGAAAAAACGAAAGGAAAUGAUGACUAACUUGAAAAGCGAAUGUUGCAUUUUUAUCAGCCACACACUUGGUUCAAUAACAUGUGAAAAGCUUUUGUGAUAUGUAUUUUAUGUGUAUUUGUGCACUCCUAACAUACGCAUUUUUAAUAUGAAGUAUGUAUCUGUUGCAUUACUUGUGUACAUAGAGAAAUUUGUGCAAUGUGUUGGUGUCACUUGGUUGAAAUGUUUUUGGACUUUAUAUUUACAAAUGCUGAUAUUGAGGCUUUAUUAUAGAAACAAGCCACUUUUCCACAGUUUUGCACAAAAGUUGUUAUGAGUCUGCACAAUAGAUACAGUUAUUGGUUGUGGCGGGGGGGCGGAAUCAUAUUUAUAUCCCCAGUAUGAGUCUUCCAAUAUAUUAGUGUAUCAAACUGUCAUAGAUUUUUCAAUAUAGGGGGGAAAAAAAGCAGCCCUGGAUAAAAAAAAAAAAUCAGUUUCACAUUUUGUUCAAUCGUUAUUAUGUUAACUGUUUAGAAACAAAGGUCAGCAAUACUGGAAGAAAAAAAAAGAUAUUUAAGAAUAUCAUAGUUCAACUUAGACUGAAUUGCUUUUCUUACUUUUUGCUUCCACCACACUGUAAUUAAGAAUUCAUCAGAAUCAGAGUAACCAUAUGAAGCAUAUACAAGCAUUAACCCCACAGACACCUAUGUGAUGCUUCUGUUGAGCUCUGUUUAUAAUGCAGAGUACUUAAAACAUCAGUAGACGUACGUCAUAAUUUUCAUUGCUGGUGUAGGGGAUAAUAAUAGCAGUCUUCAGCAGAAAUGUCUCUGAUGCUGUCAUGUAGCCUGCUGUUUUCUGUAUGCCUUAUGUAGUUACAUAUAUGAUGACCAAACAUUUUAUAUCCUUAUUGUGUACAUGUUCACCCAUCCAAAUAUUAGUUAAGAAAUUUGUAUAUGA
Molecule: RNA transcript, 2455 nt
Organism: Myxocyprinus asiaticus (Chinese sucker)
Lineage: Eukaryota; Metazoa; Chordata; Actinopteri; Cypriniformes; Catostomidae
Gene name: protein cornichon homolog 3-like
Exons: 8
Source: RefSeq, a predicted model, not a curated record